UACAGAGGUCUCAAGCGUUGUUCGGAUUCAUUGGGCGUAAAGGGUGUGUAGGUGGCGCCGUAAGUCGGGUGUGAAAUUUCGGAGCUUAACUCCGAAACUGCCCUUGAUACUGGCGGUCUCGAGUCCGGGAGAGGUGAGUGGAACUGCGAGUGUAGAGGUGAAAUUCGUAGAUAUUCGCAAGAACACCAGUGGCGAAGGCGGCUCACUGGCCCGGUACUGACGCUGAGGUGCGAAAGCGUGGGGAGCAAACAGG
RNAcentral lists this ribosomal RNA (253 nucleotides) under uncultured bacterium. RNAcentral describes it as "partial 16S ribosomal RNA". It matches the Rfam family "Bacterial small subunit ribosomal RNA", at positions 524 to 776 of the family's 1533-position model. The record is from RNAcentral.